GAUGAACGCUGGCGGCGUGCCUAAUACAUGCAAGUCGAGCGAACAGACGAGGAGCUUGCUCCUCUGACGUUAGCGGCGGACGGGUGAGUAACACGUGGAUAACCUACAUAUAAGACUGGGAUAACUUCGGGAAACCGGAGCUAAUACCGGAUAAUAUAUUGAACCGCAUGGUUCAAUAGUGAAAGACGGUUUUGCUGUCACUUAUAGAUGGAUCCGCGCCGCAUUAGCUAGUUGGUAAGGUAACGGCUUACCAAGGCAACGAUGCGUAGCCGACCUGAGAGGUUGAUCGGCCACACUGGAACUGAGACACGGUCCAGACUCCUACGGGGGGCAGCAGUAGGGAAUCUUCCGCAAUGGGCGAAAGCCUGACGGAGCAACGCCGCGUGAGUUAUGAAGGUCUUCGGAUCGUAAAACUCUGUUAUUAGGGAAGAACAAAUGUGUAAGUAACUAUGCACGUCUUGACGGUACCUAAUCAGAAAGCCACGGCUAACUACGUG
Molecule: ribosomal RNA, 497 nt
Filed under: uncultured bacterium
Lineage: Bacteria
Description: partial 16S ribosomal RNA
Rfam family: Bacterial small subunit ribosomal RNA
Source: RNAcentral